GCCAGGGUGGACCGGAGACUGUGGCUGGAGACCAGGGGCCCACAGCACCGGACCAGAGGACCAGGAAUCCAUGGCUGAAGGAGCUGAUGGAGGAGUCGUGCUGAAGGCCCUGCCUGGUGGAGGAGAUGGUGGAGGCCCUGCCUGGUGAAGGACGUCUGUCGUGGGACCAGGACUCUGUCUGAGGAGAGCUGCUGGAGGAGCUGAGACGCUGGAGGACGACUAGGAAUCGACCAACAAGGAUU
This is a long non-coding RNA of Gadus macrocephalus (Pacific cod), 242 nucleotides long. RefSeq lists it as uncharacterized. NCBI's taxonomy places the organism in Eukaryota, Metazoa, Chordata, Actinopteri, Gadiformes, Gadidae. The transcript has 3 exons. The record is from RefSeq and is a predicted model, not a curated record.